Molecule: ribosomal RNA, 253 nt
Filed under: uncultured bacterium
Lineage: Bacteria
Description: partial 16S ribosomal RNA
Rfam family: Bacterial small subunit ribosomal RNA
Source: RNAcentral
UACGUAGGGGGCUAGCGUUGUCCGGAAUCAUUGGGCGUAAAGCGCGUGUAGGCGGCCCGGUAAGUCCGCUGUGAAAGUCGGGGGCUCAACCCUCGGAUGCCGGUGGAUACUGUCGGGCUCGAGUACGGAAGAGGCGAGUGGAAUUCCUGGUGUAGCGGUGAAAUGCGCAGAUAUCAGGAGGAACACCAAUUGCGAAGGCAGCUCGCUGGGACGUAACUGACGCUGAGACGCGAAAGCAUGGGGAGCAAACGGG